This 465-nucleotide ribosomal RNA is filed under the name Vreelandella stevensii. Its description in RNAcentral is "partial 16S ribosomal RNA". It matches the Rfam family "Bacterial small subunit ribosomal RNA", at positions 338 to 795 of the family's 1533-position model. Lineage: Bacteria; Pseudomonadati; Pseudomonadota; Gammaproteobacteria; Oceanospirillales; Halomonadaceae. The record is from RNAcentral.
CCUACGGGGGGCAGCAGUGGGGAAUAUUGGACAAUGGGGGCAACCCUGAUCCAGCCAUGCCGCGUGUGUGAAGAAGGCCCUCGGGUUGUAAAGCACUUUCAGUGAGGAAGAACGCCUGGUGGUUAAUACCCAUCAGGAAAGACAUCACUCACAGAAGGAGCACCGGCUAACUCCGUGCCAGCAGCCGCGGUAAUACGGAGGGUGCGAGCGUUAAUCGGAAUUACUGGGCGUAAAGCGCGCGUAGGUGGCUUGAUAAGCCGGUUGUGAAAGCCCCGGGCUCAACCUGGGAACGGCAUCCGGAACUGUCAAGCUAGAGUGCAGGAGAGGAAGGUAGAAUUCCCGGUGUAGCGGUGAAAUGCGUAGAGAUCGGGAGGAAUACCAGUGGCGAAGGCGGCCUUCUGGACUGACACUGACACUGAGGUGCGAAAGCGUGGGUAGCAAACAGGAUUAGAUACCCCAGUAGUC